CGUACACUCCUACGGGAGGCAGCAGUGGGGAAUAUUGGACAAUGGGCGCAAGCCUGAUCCAGCCAUGCCGCGUGAGUGAUGAAGGCCCUAGGGUUGUAAAGCUCUUUCACCGGUGAAGAUAAUGACGGUAACCGGAGAAGAAGCCCCGGCUAACUUCGUGCCAGCAGCCGCGGUAAUACGAAGGGGGCUAGCGUUGUUCGGAUUUACUGGGCGUAAAGCGCACGUAGGCGGACUAUUAAGUCAGGGGUGAAAUCCCGGGGCUCAACCCCGGAACUGCCUUUGAUUCUGGUAGUCUUGAGUUCGAGUGAGGUGAGUGGAAUUCCGAGUGUAGAGGUGAAAUUCGUAGAUAUUCGGAGGAACACCAGUGGCGAAGGCGGCUCACUGGCUCUAUACUGACGCUGAGGUGCGAAAGCGUGGGGAGCAAACAGGAUUAGAAACCCCAGUAGUCCCAUGAU
RNAcentral lists this ribosomal RNA (455 nucleotides) under uncultured organism. RNAcentral's name for it is "partial 16S ribosomal RNA". It matches the Rfam family "Bacterial small subunit ribosomal RNA", at positions 330 to 801 of the family's 1533-position model. The record is from RNAcentral.